AUUUCAUCAAAGAGGACAUACGAGCAAUGUGCUGAAACAUUUGAACACGCAGCAUGCAAUAAUUAUAGAUGGAUGUCGCGUCUUUGAACCACGCCAAUCUCAUCCCAGGCAGCAGCCAUCGUAAAUACAACAGAUGAGCAUGAGGAAACAUAUUCUGACUGGUUUGAAGGCGGGCAGUAAUAGCUCCAGUUCAUGUACGCCGUGAGUUUUCACCACGGCAGGGAAGAGUACCACUACCAAGAAUGACGAAUGUCACCAAGCAUUGACUAAGUUUCUAGUCAAAAGCUUGCAACAAUUCGCUACAUAGAUGCUCCUUUUUGCGUCUACUUCUCCCUCCUCUGCGGGAGCACUUGGAGGAGCCGUUGACAGCGCGCUCGGACACGCCCCUGCUCGCGUUGAGCGCAGCACGCCCACGCAGCACGCCCACGCAGC
Nerophis lumbriciformis (worm pipefish) is the source of this 432-nucleotide long non-coding RNA. RefSeq lists it as uncharacterized. The record is from RefSeq and is a predicted model, not a curated record. NCBI's taxonomy places the organism in Eukaryota, Metazoa, Chordata, Actinopteri, Syngnathiformes, Syngnathidae.